ACCAUGAUUGCACUGAAUGCUGAGAUCCCAGAAUAAUGUCAGUAUGUAAAAGAAUGAGAGAAUUGAUUUCUUGCGGUACUGUGACUCAAUUUACUGUAAUUGAUUCUUGGGUGGUUUUUUGAUCUAAUAUAGGCUGUUUCUAGGUUAUACAAUUAAUUUCUAUAUUCUACAAAUGUCUUUGAGGAAAUUUUGACCUUUUUUUUUGUAGGAGGAAGUAUUAUUGAAUAACUUCAUGCCAGAACUUUAUUCUAGUGGAAAAGCUUAAGUGGCCUUUCUGUUUCAGCAAAAAUACAUAAGCCUAUUUUAAAGUUUACUGUAAAUACUGUAUUUGUCAAAUUGAUAGAUUAGUUGGGUCACUCAUGAAACAAAGGCAAACAAAGCUUAAUUGAAACAGAAUGUGAUACUGUAUGGCAGAGAAGAUACAGCUCUGUAGGUGUUCUCUAAAAAGCGAAUACCACAUGUUGAAGUUUAAGCAAAUAUAACUAUGCAUUAGAAACAUUUCUCUGCACUCUGUUCUGCACCAGAAAUAAUAUGUAUGUUGGUAAGAGUCCCUUCAAAGCAAUAUGUGUUUGCGGCAUAUAAUAAUAACAGUUCCUGGAGAAUCAAGGAGGAAUGGAGGAGUACAAAGGAGACUAUUAUCUUCAAGUUAUUGACAAGUAAGUAAAAAGUCCUGUCAAGUUGGAAAUUUUUAUUAGUCACUAAACUUUGACUAAAUUAGUCACUACAGUCUUCCCACAACUUAAUUGCUGUUAGGAAGUGUAAAGAAAGACAGGCGUGAUAUUCCUGAAAUGGAAAUUAGAUCUUAAGGCAGUUCUAGAUGUCUAAAGUAUUGUAACUGAGAAUGAUCAGUUCUAGAUCCAGUAAACUGAAAAGUAAGAGCAAAGUCCGAGGAGGAUUUUGUAUUAAUGCACUUAAAAACAAUGCCAAAAUUUGGCCUAUACUUGAUUUAUAUGAAAUCUGUAAUAUAAUAUAUAUAAAAUUUGCAUAUUGGAGUUUAAUUUUUUAUGUACAGAUUUUUUCUUCUUACUGCAUUCCCUGAUAAAGCAAGUGUUCAUGAAAUAUAAACCAGCUUUGUCUGUGCAAGGCAAGGUUUUGUGUUAGUAGUAUUUCAGGAAAGAAUGCAGCUGUAACCCCCAGUAUCUCAAGCUCUUGGAGAACUACUUAAAAAAACAAAGCAAAACAAACAAACAAACAAAAACCUUUCAAAUGCAAGCCCUGAGUUAGUAGAGUAUCAUAUAAUGGUUGCUGUAUAAUAGUGUAGAACUGAUGUUUUAAAAAUUAAUACAUUGGAACUUUUUGUUAUAUUAUCCUUAAUGAUUUUGUACUCAUUGUACACUUCUGCAGUUGUCAACUAAUGUUUAAACUCAUAUUGACUGGUAACUGAAGUGUCUUAACUUCAUCUGCAAUGAGUGGAUAAUAAAGUAUUGUUGGAUUCA
This is a long non-coding RNA of Pezoporus occidentalis (night parrot), 1436 nucleotides long. RefSeq lists it as uncharacterized. The transcript has 2 exons. The record is from RefSeq and is a predicted model, not a curated record. NCBI's taxonomy places the organism in Eukaryota, Metazoa, Chordata, Aves, Psittaciformes, Psittacidae.